GAUGAACGCUAGCUACAGGCUUAACACAUGCAAGUCGAGGGGAAACGAUAGAGAAAGCUUGCUUUUUCUAGGCGUCGACCGGCGCACGGGUGAGUAACGCGUAUCCAACCUGCCCAUCACUUGGGGAUAACCUUGCGAAAGUAAGACUAAUACCCAAUGACGUCCCUAGAAGACAUCUGAAAGGGAUUAAAGAUUUAUCGGUGAUGGAUGGGGAUGCGUCUGAUUAGCUUGUUGGCGGGGUAACGGCCCACCAAGGCGAAGAUCAGUAGGGGUUCUGAGAGGAAGGUCCCCCACAAUGGAACUGAGACACGGUCCAAACUCCUACGGGAGGCAGCAGUGAGGAAUAUUGGUCAAUGGACGAGAGUUUGAACCAGCCAAGUAGCGUGCAGGAUGACGGCCCUAUGGGUUGCAAACUGCUUUUAUAAGGGAAUAAAGUGAGAGUCGUGACUCUUUUUGCAUGUACCUUAUGAAUAAGGACCGGCUAAUUCCGUGCCAGCCGCCGCGGUAA
This 508-nucleotide ribosomal RNA is filed under the name uncultured bacterium. RNAcentral describes it as "partial 16S ribosomal RNA". It matches the Rfam family "Bacterial small subunit ribosomal RNA", at positions 28 to 523 of the family's 1533-position model. The record is from RNAcentral.